RNAcentral lists this unclassified non-coding RNA (347 nucleotides) under soil metagenome. RNAcentral describes it as "partial contains 5.8S ribosomal RNA, internal transcribed spacer 2, and large subunit ribosomal RNA". The stretch from base 1 to 120 matches the Rfam family "5.8S ribosomal RNA", at positions 35 to 154 of the family's 154-position model. The record is from RNAcentral.
GAUGAAGAACGUAGCGAAAUGCGAUACGUAGUGUGAAUUGCAGAAUUCAGUGAAUCAUCGAGUCUUUGAACGCACAUUGCGCCCCCUGGUAUUCCGGGGGGCAUGCCUGUCCGAGCGUCAUUGCUGCCCUCAAGCACGGCUUGUGUGUUGGGCCGUCGUCCCCCUCCUAGGGGACGGGCCCGAAAGGCAGCGGCGGCACCGCGUCCGGUCCUCGAGCGUAUGGGGCUUCGUCACCCGCUCCGUAGGCCCGGCCGGCGCUUGCCGACGACCAUCAAUCUCUUUCUCCAGGUUGACCUCGGAUCAGGUAGGGAUACCCGCUGAACUUAAGCAUAUCAAUAAGCGGAGGA